AUGAAUUCAAAUUAUAAACUCGUGGUGCCAGAGCAGUAUGACCGCGUCAUAUCUGCAGAGCUCCCGGACAGGCAUAAGUAUCCAGAGCUCUAUGCCAUGGUCGUGAAGCAUAUGAUGCACGGCUCAUGUGGCAAUCUUAAUCCCAAAAAUGUGUGCAUGCAAGACUUGAAGUGCAAGAGCAAGUACCCACGACCGUUCAACCAGAACACCUUACAGGGGAAGGAUUCAUACCCGGUUUAUCGACGGCGGGACGAUGGUCGUCAGGCUAAGAUCCGCCGUCAAAUGCUGGAUAACAGAUGGGUCGUGCCUUACAACCCGUAUCUGUUGCGGAUGUUCAACUGCCACAUAAAUGUCGAGGUGUGCUCCAGCAUCAAGGCCGUCAAGUACCUUUACAAAUAUGUAUACAAGGGUCACGAUCGAGCUUCAUUCAGCAUUGACCAGCCUGACAGCAACGGGGUUGUAGACGAGAUUAAAAGGUACGUUGAUGCGAGAUGGGUUACUCCACCGGAGGCGAUGUGGAGGAUAUUCGGCUUCAACCUUUCUGAGAGUUUCCCGUCAGUCCUACAGUUGCCGCUUCAUCUCCCUAAUAUGAAUAGUGUCACAUUCAAAGCAGGAGAGGACCUGACCGAUGUCGUCGCCCGUGAUACUGCAUCUAAGUCAAUGCUGACAGAGUAUUUCCUCGCUAAUCAGCAGCACGUGUGGGCUCGGGAUAUCCUGUACAAGGACUUUCCGGGAAGUUUCACAUGGCAGAGACAGAAAUACUGGAAGCGGAGAGAAAAGCAGCACCAAGUAGGUCGAAUCGUGUCAGCCCAUCCAGCCGAGGGGGAGCGGUACUUUCUGCGAGUGCUGCUUAACCACGUUCCAGGCAAGACAUCCUUCGAGGACCUGCGGACCGUGGAUGGAGUGCUAUGUGCUAGCUUCCGUGAGGCUGCCGAGAGAUUGGGCCUCAUUGAGGCCGACAACACACUUGACGAGUGUCUUACAGAGUCAACACAGUUUGCAAUGCCAGCCUCACUCAGGAGGCUCUUUGCAACUAUCUUGGUAUUCUGCGAGCCAGGUGACGUGCGCGGUCUAUGGGAUAGGCACCUAGACGCGAUGUCUGAUGGCUACCGUCGAACUCACGCGUGCUCAAAGGCAGUGGAGCAGAUGGUGUUGCUUGACAUCAGGGGCAUGCUACAGUCCAUGGGCAAAGACAUAGCAUUGUUCCCUCUUCCGGGCAUCGACGAGACCUAUGACACUACUGGAGGUGAGGCCAGAGAAGUCACCGAGGAGUCCGCCAUCAAGGUUGACGCGAACGACGCUGAUUUGGCGUCCUCGCUAAACCCUGAGCAGAGGCUUGCAUAUGAUGAGAUACUGGCAGCAGUUGAUGCUGGUGAUGGUGGUGUAUUCUUUGUCGAUGGCCCGGGAGGCACCGGGAAGACCUUCCUAUACAGGUCACUUCUCGCAAAGGUUCAAGGCGAGGGCAAGAUCGCGCUAGCUACAGCGACGUCAGGCGUCGCGGCUUCCAUCAUGCCUGGAGGAAGGACAGCCCACUCGAGGUUCAAGAUCCCACUCAACAUUGAAGAUAGGGGGUCGUGCAGCUUCACGAAGCAAAGUGGGACGGCCAAGCUCCUGCACAUGUCUUCACUCAUCCUAUGGGACGAGGCCACCAUGACGAAGCGGCAAGCGGUUGAGGCACUAGACAAUAGCAUGCGGGACAUCAUAGGACGACGGGACCGACCAUUCGGGGGAAAGACAGUCGUGUUCGGUGGGGACUUCAGGCAGGUGCUUCCGGUCGUCAGGAAGGGGUCACGGGGUCAGAUAAUCAAUGCGACCCUACGGAGUUCGUACCUUUGGAACGGCAUGCGCCAGCUAAGGCUCGUCACCAACAUGAGGGCGCAUAACGACCCGUGGUACGCAGAUUACUUGCUACGGGUAGGUAACGGGACCGAGGAAACUGACGAGGAAGGCAACAUAAGGCUCCCCGAAGAUAUUUGUGUGCCGCCAACAGGAGACGGCGCUGACCUAGAGAAGCUAAUCGACCAUGUAUUUCCUGCUCUGGACGACAACAUGGCUGAUCCAAAUUACAUGACAUCUCGAGCGAUCCUCUCCACCAAGAACGACAACAUUGAUAAGAUAAAUACGCGCAUGAUAGAGUGCUUCCAGGGCGAAGAGAAGAUCUACCACAGUUUUGAUAGUGCAGAGGAUGAUCCACACGGCUACUAUGCCCCCGAAUUCCUUAAUAACCUGACUCCCAACGGGCUGCCUCCGCAUGCACUCAAACUAAAGAUAAAUUGCCCUGUUAUACUGUUGAGAAACAUUGAUCCAGCUAAUGGGUUGUGUAACGGCACAAGGCUUGUGGUCCGGGGUUUUCAGAGGAACGCCAUUGAUGCAGAAAUCGUGCUAGGACAACAUGCUGGUAGGAGGGUGUUCCUUCCUCGGAUACCUCUCUGCCCAUCCGAUGCCGAUAUAUUCCCUUUCAAGUUCAAGAGGAAGCAGUUCCCUAUUAGGCUCAGCUUUGCCAUGACAAUCAACAAGGCGCAAGGGCAGACCAUCCCAAUUGUGGGGGUGUACCUACCGGACCCGGUUUUCUCUCACGGUCAGCUCUACGUCGCAUUGUCUAGAGCCACAGCGAAGAGGAACAUUAAGAUUCUCGCCAUCAAGGACAAUGGCAAGGGUAAGGGCAAGGGUAAGGAAGAAAGCAAGAAUUCAAAGAAGCGAAAAAGAUCUGAGCCCUUAUUAACGACCAUGAAGAACAUAGUGUACAAGGAAGUCCUUAGCACAUGA
This 2766-nucleotide ribosomal RNA is filed under the name Triticum aestivum (bread wheat). Its description in RNAcentral is "partial small subunit ribosomal RNA". The record is from RNAcentral. Lineage: Eukaryota; Viridiplantae; Streptophyta; Magnoliopsida; Poales; Poaceae.